UCCGUGUGUCCCUGUCUGUCCGUGUGUCCCUGUCUGUCCGUGUGUCCCUGUCUGUCCGUGAGUCCCUGUCUGUCCGUGAGUCCGUGUGUCCCUGUCUGUCCCUGUCUGUCCGUGAGUCCCUGUCUGUCUGUGAGUCCCUGUCUGUCUGUGAGUCCCUGUCUGUCUGUGAGUCCGUGUGUCCCUGUCUGUCCGUGUGUCCCUGUCUGUCCGUGUGUCCCUGUCUGUCCGUGAGUCCCUGUCUGUCCGUGAGUCACUGUCCGUGUGUCCCUGACACUGUCUGUGUGUCCCUGUCUGUCUGUGUGUCCCUGUCUGUCUGUGUGUCCCUGUCUGUCAUCUCAAAUUGUUCUCUCAACCUGUGUCCACCUACAUUGUAAACUUUCAUUCAUAGGCCAGGUUGUAGCAACCUCAUGAAGGGUACAGGGAACAUUCUAGUAUCAUGUAGUAAACCUAAACCUAUCAUUGAACUGGGUGAAUAUGAAUGACAGUAGCCUAAACCUAUCACUGUUACAUUAAGCUGGGUGAAUGGAAUAUGAAUGACAGUAACCUAAACCUAUCACUGUUACAUUGAGCUGGGUGAAUAUGAAUGACAGUCAUCCAAUAGGCUGUAAUAAGUAAGGCCGUGCUCAUAAAGAAUAAAGAACCGUCCUCCCUCAUCUUAAACGACACUGAUCGCAACCGGCAUAUCAUUGUUUAGUUUCUUUGGCCUUCAGAGGCUGAGCUACAACCUCCUGUAGCCGAGGAGACAAACGAUUGACUUUGCUUGGGAAGUAAUCUAAUUCUUGUCACUAUCAAUUGAUUGAUUAAGCGAUUCACUUUCUGUACAACAGAAGAUGUUUAAACCCAGACAGGUUUUAAAGGGAAACACUUGUGACCUUCUCUUGUUGAGUUAAGCCAUGGAAGAAUAGUAGCCAGUAGUUAAAGUUGUCAAUGUUUCUGUGUCGGUAGGCCUACUCUGUCUGGGGUGGAAUGGUAGGCCUACUCUGUCUGGGGUGGAAAGGUAGGCAUACUCUGUCUGGGGUGGAAAGGUAGGCCUAACUUUUGAAAGUACCAUGCUCAGAUUCCUAAUGGCAUCUCAGACUUAAAUAUUUCCAAAUGGGGACAGUUUUGACAAUGUGAUUUUCUGGAUUUUUUUUCUCAUUUUGUCUGUCAUAGUUGAAGUGUACCUAUGAUGAAAAUUACAGGCCUCUCUCAUCUUUUUAAGUGGGAGAACUUGCACAAUUGGU
Oncorhynchus tshawytscha (Chinook salmon) is the source of this 1223-nucleotide long non-coding RNA. Lineage: Eukaryota; Metazoa; Chordata; Actinopteri; Salmoniformes; Salmonidae. The record is from Ensembl.